This is a long non-coding RNA of Nothobranchius furzeri (turquoise killifish), 2146 nucleotides long. The record is from Ensembl. Lineage: Eukaryota; Metazoa; Chordata; Actinopteri; Cyprinodontiformes; Nothobranchiidae.
CCCCCCCCCAAAAAAACUAUUAAUGUCUGGUUGUUGUAAUUAUUUGUGAUUACUGCAGCUGCAACAGGUUAGUUAUUUUUUAAAAAGUUACACAUGUUGUAGCUACAAAAAUAAAACAUGCAUAUUUUCACCAUUUCUGCCACAUUUACCUGAACAUUCUUAUGAAAUUCACACCGCUAUGCCAAUAAACUUCCUAUUAAGUGCGCACAUUUUAUUCAAUUACAAGCUGUGAAAAAGAGCAGCUUUUCUGCUCCUGUGUCCCUCCUUCUGAGAGGUGGAGGCUGGUUGGAGAAGAUCGAAUGGAUCGGAAGUACCGUAGUUUGUGUGUAUGCUGAUAGGGGAGUUGGGGGUAGCUACAUAUUUACGUUCAGUGGGAGCCGCCCUUCAUUCACCCACAUGGUUACCAACUGCUCGCCUUCGCGCCACUUUCUUAACCCCGCAAUCAUCUUUAAAAAGCCUUUCUGAGCUAUAAAUUGGCUCACUGUCGCUCCGGAGUUCACUUAGUGUUUUGUUUUCGUCCAGCGGAGCAAAAGUUUCGGGGAGAGUUGCGUGUUUAUAUGGCUCUUUUGUCGGUGGGAGACUGCACGGCAGCCCAAGCAAGUGAGCGAAGAUGGUGGAUUUGGCUGGUGAGCGCAUGUUUAUCGGUCCACCAAGAUAUAGGAGACUCCUUGGAAAAUGCAUCCAUUGAUGGUUAUCCUAGUCCUGGAGGAGGAAGUGUUGUAAAUCUGUCUUUGUAUUGCCAAAGUGCUUACAGUGCAGGUAGUACUAUGUGAUACCUACUGCAGUGGAGGCACUUAAAGCAAUACCCAGACUCAGGAUCUCAGACUAUUUAUUUUUUACAUGUCUUUUGAGUUACUGUCUUUGUGCUAAGGUGCAUCUAGUGCAGAUAGUGAAAUAGACUAGCACCUACUGCCCUAAGUGCUCCUUCUGGCAUAAGGGGCUGUGAUGUGCACCACCAGAUCAUUUUUAAUUCCUAAUUGGGCCCAAACAUCUUGCAGUUCUCUGCUAGUUUUGCAUAGUUGCACUACAAGAAUAGAUGAGUUGUGCAAAUCUAUGCAAAACUGAUGGUGGCCUGCUUGCUCUACACCUGUUCUGAUUUUUUUGGGGUGUGUGUGGGGGGGUGUUGUUGUUGUUGAACUUAACCUGAAUGCAUAAAACAAAUGUUGAAAACAAGGAGCGUUUCACCCACUGACCACAGUUUCAGCAGUACUAAAGUGCUUAUAGUGCAGGUAGUGUUUUUCUCUAUCUACUGCAAUGUAAGCACUUGAAGUAUUUCUAACUGUAUCUGACUGGAGUCUGAGGUAAACAUUGAGGACAAAACCGUUAAUUGUCACUUGGUCAGUUUUGCUGGUUUGCAUUCAGCCUUAACAGAUGUGUGCUGUGCAAAUCCAUGCAAAACUGACUAGGUUGAUGGUGUUUGCUGCCAAGUUGAACUGCCUUUUUACUGAUUUGGUGGAUAAAUUGGGUGUUUCUGGGAGUUUCAUGAGAAGAUGUCCUGUCUAGUGCAGGUGGGGAUUUGUAGCAAUGCUGUGGUCCUGGAGGUAUUGCACUUGUCCCGGCCUGUACAGGAACAAGGAGAUGAGCUGACCACGAUCUUCACAUGAGCACAUUUCAUAACCGUUGCAUGCAUGUGCUGUAAAUAAAGUCUGUGCACUUAUUUGGAUUUAUUGUGUGUGUGUAUGUGAUCAUUUUGUUUGUAUUUUGAUCAUUAAAGUUGACUUUUACUUUAAAUUUCAGCCCAAGCUUUUUAUUUAUUUAUUUUUACUUGCACCUAAAACAUAAACAUUAGAAAAAGUUUGGUUUGGAAAAACAAGCAUUUGAGUAGAAUUUUGUACAUCUGACAAUUUAUAUUAUCCGUAGGCCUAUAGGCAUUUUUUGGUAAGUUUAAAAUAUGACUUCUUACCAUUUUGUCUAUUCAUUGUGAUCUAGUUUACGGAGGGUGUAAUCUGGAGGGCUGUGUAGGAGACAGAAAUAUUGGGAAUACAUGUAGAUGGUAUUUAAGUCUAAAAUGGUCAGAUAGGGUACUUUACCUGGCAAUCUUGUGUUUGUUUAUAUAUGAAAAAAAGUCCAAGUAAUUCUGGUUAAUUAAAUAUUUAGCUAAAUAAAAAUUCCCUUUAUUUUGGCUGGUCCACAGCAACAACUGGUA